RNAcentral lists this ribosomal RNA (173 nucleotides) under uncultured bacterium. Its description in RNAcentral is "partial 16S ribosomal RNA". It matches the Rfam family "Bacterial small subunit ribosomal RNA", at positions 1328 to 1500 of the family's 1533-position model. The record is from RNAcentral.
GGAAUCGCUAGUAAUCGCAAAUCAGAAUGUUGCGGUGAAUACGUUCCCGGGUCUUGUACACACCGCCCGUCACACCAUGGGAGUUGGAUAUGCCCGAAGUCAGUGACCCAACCGAAAGGAGGGAGCUGCCGAAGGUGGAGCCGGUAACUGGGGUGAAGUCGUAACAAGGUAUC